CUCGCAAGAGUGAACUAGCUAACUGAAAUCAUUAAUUGAAUAACUUCAAUAUGAUGUGGUAAGGGAAAAUAAUGAUACUACCUUACUUAUAGUGUUGUCUAAAGCUGGUGCCAGAAGACUCGGUAAAGCCAGAAACGCAAACGUUAAUCAUCAUAAACAGGCGUAAAGGGUUAGUAGGCUGCUUUUUAGUUAAUAAUUUAAUCUUAACCCCUUAAGUUUAAAAAUAAAAUAAUAAAAUUUUUUUAUUAGUUUAUUUAUAUUAAUCUUUAGAGCUAGAAUCAAAAAGAAGUUAAAAAGUAUAAUACUUAGAGUAGGGAUAAUAUCUGGAGAUACUAGGCGGAAUACUAAAGGUGUAAACAACUAACUAUAAAUGAUUGACGCUGAGAGACGAAGGUGAGGACAGGAAAUAGGAUUAGAUACCCCGGUACCCCUCUCUGUAAACGAUGAAUGGUAAUCAUUAGUAUAUUACUGGUGGUAAAGUUAACACGUUAACCAUUCCGCCUUGGGAGUACGACUGCAAAGUUGAAAACAAAAAAAUUAGUCGGUCUCGAAGCAAACGGAGUGAAGCAU
RNAcentral lists this ribosomal RNA (570 nucleotides) under Fomitopsis serialis. RNAcentral's name for it is "SSU rRNA". It matches the Rfam family "Bacterial small subunit ribosomal RNA", at positions 382 to 942 of the family's 1533-position model. The record is from RNAcentral. Lineage: Eukaryota; Fungi; Basidiomycota; Agaricomycetes; Polyporales; Fomitopsidaceae.